GACGAACGCUGGCGGCGUGCUUAACACAUGCAAGUCGAACGGCAAGGCCCUUCGGGGUACACGAGUGGCGAACGGGUGAGUAACACGUGGGUGAUCUGCCCUGCACUUCGGGAUAAGCCUGGGAAACUGGGUCUAAUACCGGAUAGGACCCUGGGAUGCAUGUCCUGGGGUGGAAAGCUUUUGCGGUGUGGGAUGGGCCGGCGGCCUAUCAGCUUGUUGGUGGGGUGAUGGCCUACCAAGGCGACGACGGGUAGCCGGCCUGAGAGGGUGACCGGCCACACUGGGACUGAGAUACGGCCCAGACUCCUACGGGAGGCAGCAGUGGGGAAUAUUGCACAAUGGGCGCAAGCCUGAUGCAGCGACGCCGCGUGAGGGAUGACGGCCUUCGGGUUGUAAACCUCUUUCAGCACCGACGAAGCGCAAGUGACGGUAGGUGCAGAAGAAGGACCGGCCAACUACGUGCCAGCAGCCGCCGUAA
Molecule: ribosomal RNA, 478 nt
Filed under: uncultured bacterium
Lineage: Bacteria
Description: partial 16S ribosomal RNA
Rfam family: Bacterial small subunit ribosomal RNA
Source: RNAcentral